RNAcentral lists this ribosomal RNA (253 nucleotides) under uncultured bacterium. Its description in RNAcentral is "partial 16S ribosomal RNA". It matches the Rfam family "Bacterial small subunit ribosomal RNA", at positions 524 to 776 of the family's 1533-position model. The record is from RNAcentral.
UACGGAGGGGGCAAGCGUUAUUCGGAAUCAUUGGGCGUAAAGGGUGCGUAGGCGGCGCGGUAAGUCGGGUGUGAAAUCUCGGGGCUUAACUCCGAAACUGCAUUCGAUACUGCGGUGCUUGAGGACUGGAGAGGAGACUGGAAUUUACGGUGUAGCAGUGAAAUGCGUAGAGAUCGUAAGGAAGACCAGUGGCGAAGGCGGGUCUCUGGACAGUUCCUGGCACUGAGGCACGAAGGCCAGGGGAGCAAACGGG